Molecule: long non-coding RNA, 450 nt
Organism: Panicum hallii
Lineage: Eukaryota; Viridiplantae; Streptophyta; Magnoliopsida; Poales; Poaceae
Exons: 2
Source: RefSeq, a predicted model, not a curated record
CCUCAGUUCAAACGAGGUCCCUCUUCUUCUUCUUCUUCGACUCACCCAGGCAAGGGUGGAAAGAAAGAUCAACCACACAUUGAAAAGGAUCAAUGCAUGUGGUGUCACAAGACGGGACACUACAAGAAAGAUUGCCCAGAUUUUCUACGGCAUUUAAUUAAGAAAGGGUAUAAGUACAAAGACGAUGCUACAAAGAGGGGAUAGAUGGCUGAAAGUCGCCAAUGGAGUUAGAGCCGACGUUGAAGCAGUUUGUCAACUCACGUUAGAGUUAGAGAAUGGCUUUAAACUCCAGUUACAUAAUGUUCUUUAUGUACCCUCUUUGUCUAGAAAUUUAAUUUCAGUAUCAUGUUUGGCAGAUGAUGGUUAUAAGUGCCAUUUUGGCGAAGAACAAUGUGAGAUUUUAUCUGAAAGUCAGUGUGUUGGUCUUGCCAUCCGACAAGACAAACUUUA